This 478-nucleotide ribosomal RNA is filed under the name uncultured bacterium. Its description in RNAcentral is "partial 16S ribosomal RNA". It matches the Rfam family "Bacterial small subunit ribosomal RNA", at positions 28 to 523 of the family's 1533-position model. The record is from RNAcentral.
GACGAACGCUGGCGGCGUGCUUAACACAUGCAAGUCGAACGGUAAGGCCCUUCGGGGUACACGAGUGGCGAACGGGUGAGUAACACGUGGGUGAUUUGCCCUGCACUUCGGGAUAAGCCUGGGAAACUGGGUCUAAUACCGGAUAGGACCACUGCCUGCAUGGGUGGUGGUGGAAAGCUUUUGCGGUGUGGGAUGGGCCCGCGGCCUAUCAGCUUGUUGGUGGGGUGAUGGCCUACCAAGGCGACGACGGGUAGCCGGCCUGAGAGGGUGACCGGCCACACUGGGACUGAGAUACGGCCCAGACUCCGACGGGAGGCAGCAGUGGGGAAUAUUGCACAAUGGGCGCAAGCCUGAUGCAGCGACGCCGCGUGAGGGAUGACGGCCUUCGGGUUGUAAACCUCUUUCAGCACCGACGAAGCGCAAGUGACGGUAGGUGCAGAAGAAGGACCGGCCAACUACGUGCCAGCAGCCGCCGUAA